UAGGGAAUCUUCCGCAAUGGACGCAAGUCUGACGGAGCAACGCCGCGUGAGUGAAGAAGGUUUUCGGAUCGUAAAACUCUGUUGUUAGAGAAGAACAAGUGCUAGAGUAACUGUUAGCGCCUUGACGGUAUCUAACCGGAAAGCCACGGCUAACUACGUGCCAGCAGCCGCGGUAAUACGUAUGUGGCAAGCGUUGUCCGGAUUUAUUGGGCGUAAAGCGAGCGCAGGCGGUUUCUUAAGCCUGAUGUGAAAGCCCCCGGCUCAACCGGGGAGGGUCAUUGGAAACUGGGGAACUUGAGUGCAGAAGAGGAGAGUGGAAUUCCAUGUGUAGCGGUGAAAUGCGUAGAUAUAUGGAGGAACACCAGUGGCGAAAGCGGCUCUCUGGCUUGUAACUGACGCUGAGGCUCGAAAGCGUGGGGAGCAAACAGGAUUAGAUACCCUGGUAGUCCACGCCGUAAACGAUGAGUGCUAGGUGUUAGACCCUUUCCGGGGUUUAGUGCCGCAGCUAACGCAUUAAGCACUCCGCCUGGGGAGUACGACCGCAAGGUUG
Molecule: ribosomal RNA, 550 nt
Filed under: uncultured bacterium
Lineage: Bacteria
Description: bacterial SSU rRNA
Rfam family: Bacterial small subunit ribosomal RNA
Source: RNAcentral